This 273-nucleotide ribosomal RNA is filed under the name uncultured Staphylococcus sp. Its description in RNAcentral is "partial 16S ribosomal RNA". It matches the Rfam family "Bacterial small subunit ribosomal RNA", at positions 89 to 354 of the family's 1533-position model. Lineage: Bacteria; Bacillati; Bacillota; Bacilli; Caryophanales; Staphylococcaceae. The record is from RNAcentral.
ACGUUAGCGGCGGACGGGUGAGUAACACGUGGGUAACCUACCUAUAAGACUGGGAUAACUCCGGGAAACCGGGGCUAAUACCGGAUAAUACAUGAAACCGCAUGGUUUCAUGAUGAAAGACGGUUUUGCUGUCACUUAUAGAUGGACCCGCGGCGUAUUAGCUAGUUGGUAAGGUAACGGCUUACCAAGGCAACGAUACGUAGCCGACCUGAGAGGGUGAUCGGCCACACUGGAACUGAGACACGGUCCAGACUCCUACGGGAGGCAGCAGAG